Long non-coding RNA from Phyllostomus hastatus (greater spear-nosed bat), 586 nucleotides. RefSeq lists it as uncharacterized. Lineage: Eukaryota; Metazoa; Chordata; Mammalia; Chiroptera; Phyllostomidae. The transcript has 3 exons. The record is from RefSeq and is a predicted model, not a curated record.
CCAUGAAGUGUAACUGUGCUUCUCCAGAGAGGCCCACUCUACGCCUUCCUUCUUAUCAGUGUGCUCAGUCCGAGGUCGAUCCCACUGCUUCUCUAUGUGCAACUGCGCACACAAGCGGCCCUGUGUAAUCGUGUUGACACGGACUCUGCAUUUGAAGCCAUGUUUGGGUUCAAAGUAUACCUAUCUCUUGGCUUGGAAACAAGAGCAGCUUAGUCUUGGCUUGUACAUUUCCUCCCAUCCCUUUGAAUUUGUUAAAGUUGCCCCUGGAUCAACUAAGCUGACAUUGAAAAACAUAUAUAGAAAUAAUAAGUGAAUUGUUCCUCUGGGUCAUUCCUACGUGGCUGGGAAGGAACCUGAAGACCUUGGGCAUGGUGGAGAAGAAGGUUACUUCAAUGAGCGGCUGCAUGAAAGACACGGCACCUUCUAUGGAGGGAGCAGAUGAUCCUGCCAGCCAAUUUCACAUGCGCGCAGCACACAGAAAUUGAGCCGUUCAGUGGCGGUAAGCACAGUCACGCUGUAGCGCAGCCAUCACCGUCCUCCACAGAACUUUUCCAUCUCGCAACACUGACGCCAAGCCCACUAAACG